GAUAUCUCCAGAUUCGGCUUAAAGUUUGAUCCUGGCUCAGAUUGAACGCUGGCGGCAGGCCUAACCCAUGCAAGUCGAGCGGAUGAAGAAAGCUUGCUCUCUGAUUCAGCGGCGGACGGGUGAGUAAUGCCUAGGAAUCUGCCUAUUAGUGGGGGACAACAUCUCGAAAGGGAUGCUAAUACCGCAUACGCCCUACGGGGGAAAGCAGGGGAUCACUUGUGACCUUGCGUUAAUAGAUGAGCCUAAGUCGGAUUAGCUAGUUGGUGGGGUAAAGGCCUACCAAGGCGACGAUCUGUAGCGGGUCUGAGAGGAUGAUCCGCCACACUGGGACUGAGACACGGCCCAGACUCCUACGGGAGGCAGCAGUGGGGAAUAUUGGACAAUGGGGGGAACCCUGAUCCAGCCAUGCCGCGUGUGUGAAGAAGGCCUUAUGGUUGUAAAAAAACUUUAAGCGAGGAGGAGGCUCUCUUGGU
This 473-nucleotide ribosomal RNA is filed under the name uncultured bacterium. RNAcentral describes it as "SSU rRNA". It matches the Rfam family "Bacterial small subunit ribosomal RNA", at positions 1 to 460 of the family's 1533-position model. The record is from RNAcentral.